AGGAGAAUAGUUCAACGGUAGAUCGUUGGUCUCCAAAACCAAAAGUAGGGGUUCGAAUCCCCUUUCUCCUG
RNAcentral lists this transfer RNA (71 nucleotides) under Micromonas pusilla CCMP1545. RNAcentral describes it as "tRNA-Trp". It matches the Rfam family "tRNA". Rfam says of the family: Transfer RNA (tRNA) molecules are approximately 80 nucleotides in length. Their secondary structure includes four short double-helical elements and three loops (D, anti-codon, and T loops). The record is from RNAcentral. Lineage: Eukaryota; Viridiplantae; Chlorophyta; Mamiellophyceae; Mamiellales; Mamiellaceae.